Callorhinus ursinus (northern fur seal) is the source of this 415-nucleotide long non-coding RNA. RefSeq lists it as uncharacterized. The record is from RefSeq and is a predicted model, not a curated record. NCBI's taxonomy places the organism in Eukaryota, Metazoa, Chordata, Mammalia, Carnivora, Otariidae.
AAGGCCAAUUUUUAUGCAGCUGACCUGCCACUGUGCAGCAAUGGCGCCACCUACAGCUACAGAACAAUGUGCAUGUACUGACGAAAGACCAGCUAAGGAUGAAGAUGUCAUCUAUAACCAUGGAAACACACAACGUUAACCAGUUCUCGGGCAAUCUUAAAGCUAACAUUUCUCCUACAGAAUGUUGAAAGCCUCAGUGAGAUUCCAGUCUCAGAGGACCUUAUUCCCUGCAAGGUAAGGGCCUCAAAAGAGAAAAAACACCCUCUUCCUUUUCCACCCAGUGAGGUGAUAAGGAAGAGGUGGUGUCCAGAGGCUCAGCCACACCAAAUUUUCAACCAAAGCAAUGAUAGCAGGAUUCUCUCUGCGGGAAAACAUUGCUUUCUUCUGCAUCAUUGUUAUUCCUGAACUUCCAUGC